This 730-nucleotide ribosomal RNA is filed under the name uncultured eukaryote. RNAcentral describes it as "SSU rRNA". It matches the Rfam family "Eukaryotic small subunit ribosomal RNA", at positions 671 to 1426 of the family's 1831-position model. The record is from RNAcentral.
CGCGUGCACUGGUUCGGCCGGGCCUUUCCCUCUGGGGAGCCGCAUGCCCUUCACUGGGUGUGUCGGGGAACCAGGACUUUUACUUUGAACAAAUUAGAUCGCUUAAAGAAGGCCUAUGCUCGAAUACAUUAGCAUGGAAUAAUAGAAUAGGACGCGUGGUUCUAUUUUGUUGGUUUCUAGGACCGCCGUAAUGAUUAAUAGGGACAGUCGGGGGCAUCAGUAUUCAAUUGUCAGAGGUGAAAUUCUUGGAUUUAUUGAAGACUAACUACUGCGAAAGCAUUUGCCAAGGAUGUUUUCAUUAAUCAGGAACGAAAGUUAGGGGAUCGAAGACGAUCAGAUACCGUCGUAGUCUUAACCAUAAACUAUGCCGACUAGGGAUCGGACGAUGUUAUAUUUUGACUCGUUCGGCACCUUACACGAAAGUAAAGUUUCUGGGUUCUGGGGGGAGUAUGGUCGCAAGGCUGAAACUUAAAGAAAUUGACGGAAGGGCACCACCAGGGGUGGAGCCUGCGGCUUAAUUUGACUCAACACGGGGAAACUCACCAGGUCCAGACACAAGUAGGAUUGACAGAUUGAGAGCUCUUUCUCGAUUUUGUGGGUGGUGGUGCAUGGGCCGUUCUUAGUUGGUGGAGUGAUUUGUCUGCUUAAUUGCGAUAACGAACGAGACCUUAACCUGCUAAAUAGCCCGCAUUGCUUUGGCAGUGCGCCGGCUUCUUAGAGGGACUAUCGG